CGCAGCCGCGGUAAUUCCAGCUCCAAUAGCGUAUAUUAAAGUUGUUGCAGUUAAAAAGCUCGUAGUUGAAUUUCGGGGUUAGUAGGCUGGUCGUGCCACAGGUAUGUACUGGUCUUACUGAUUCCUCCUUCCUGAUGAACCGUAAUGCCAUUAAUUUGGUGUUGCGGGGAAACUGGACUGUUACUUUGAAAAAAUUAGAGUGUUUAAAGCAGGCUAACGCUUGAAUACAUUAGCAUGGAAUAACGAAAUAGGACGAUCGAUCUUAUUUUGUUGGUUUCUAGGAUUGACGUAAUGAUUAAUAGGGAUAGUUGGGGGCAUUAGUAUUCAAUUGUCAGAGGUGAAAUUCUUGGAUUUAUUGAAGACUAACUACUGCGAAAGCAUUUGCCAAGGAUGUUUUCAUUAAUCAAGAAUGAAAGUUAGGGGAUCGAAGACGAUCAGAUACCGUCGUAGUCUUAACCAUAAAACCUAUGCCGACCAGGGAUCGGAUGAUGUUAAUUUUUAAUGACUCAUUCGGCGCCUU
This 520-nucleotide ribosomal RNA is filed under the name uncultured Glomus. RNAcentral describes it as "SSU rRNA". It matches the Rfam family "Eukaryotic small subunit ribosomal RNA", at positions 569 to 1089 of the family's 1831-position model. Lineage: Eukaryota; Fungi; Glomeromycota; Glomeromycetes; Glomerales; Glomeraceae. The record is from RNAcentral.